This 301-nucleotide ribosomal RNA is filed under the name uncultured bacterium. RNAcentral's name for it is "partial 16S ribosomal RNA". It matches the Rfam family "Bacterial small subunit ribosomal RNA", at positions 509 to 807 of the family's 1533-position model. The record is from RNAcentral.
CAGCCGCCGCGGUAAUACGUAGGGUGCGAGCGUUAAUCGGAAUUACUGGACGUAAAGCGUGCGCAGGCGGUUAUAUAAGACAGAUGUGAAAUCCCCGGGCUCAACCCGGGACCUGCAUUUGUGACUGCAUAGCUAGAGUACGGUAGAGGGGGAUGGAAUUCCGCGUGUAGCAGUGAAAUGCGUAGAUAUGCGGAGGAACACCGAUGGCGAAGGCAAUCCCCUGGACCCGUACUGACGCUCAUGCACGAAAGCGUGGGGAGCAAACAGGAUUAGAUACCCCCGUAGUCCCUGUCUCUUAUAC